This 1435-nucleotide ribosomal RNA is filed under the name uncultured marine bacterium. RNAcentral's name for it is "bacterial SSU rRNA". It matches the Rfam family "Bacterial small subunit ribosomal RNA". The record is from RNAcentral.
GAGUUUGAUCAUGGCUCAGAACGUACGCUGGCGGCACGCCUAACACAUGCAAGUCGAACGAAGUAGCAAUACUUAGUGGCAGACGGGUGAGUAACAUGUAGGUAUCUGCCCUUUGGCCUGGAAUAACACGAGGAAACUUGUGCUAAUACCGGAUAAGUCUUUACGGAGAAAGCUUUAUGCACCAUUGGAUGAGCCUGCACUUGAUUAGUUUGUUGGUGGGGUAAUGGCCUACCAAGACUGUGAUCAAUAGCUGAUUUGAGAGGAUGAUCAGCCACAUUGGGACUGAGACACGGCCCAAACUCCUACGGGAGGCAGCAGUGGGGAAUCUUGCACAAUGGAGGAAACUCUGAUGCAGCGAUGCCGCGUGAGUGAAGAAGGCCCUUGGGUUGUAAAGCUCUUUCGUCGGGGAAGGAAAUGACUGUACCCGAAUAAGAAGGUCCGGCUAACUUCGUGCCAGCAGCCGCGGUAAUACGAAGGGACCUAGCGUAGUUCGGAAUUACUGGGCUUAAAGAGUUCGUAGGUGGUUGAAAAAGUUAGUGGUGAAAUCCCAGAGCUUAACUCUGGAACUGCCAUUAAAACUUUUCAGCUAGAGUAUGAUAGAGGAAAGCAGAAUUUCUAGUGUAGAGGUGAAAUUCGUAGAUAUUAGAAAGAAUACCAAUUGCGAAGGCAGCUUUCUGGAUCAUUACUGACACUGAGGAACGAAAGCAUGGGUAGCGAAGAGGAUUAGAUACCCUCGUAGUCCAUGCCGUAAACGAUGUGUGUUAGACGUUGGAAAUUUAUUUUCAGUGUCGCAGCGAAAGCGAUAAACACACCGCCUGGGGAGUACGACCGCAAGGUUAAAACUCAAAUGAAUUGACGGGGACCCGCACAAGUAGUGGAGCAUGUGGUUUAAUUCGAAGAUACGCGCAGAACCUUACCAACACUUGACAUGUUCGUCGCGACUCUAAGAGAUUAGAGUUUUCGGUUCGGCCGGACGAAACACAGGUGCUGCAUGGCUGUCGUCAGCUCGUGUCGUGAGAUGUUGGGUUAAGUCCCGCAACGAGCGCAACCCUCACUUUUAGUUGCCAUCAUUAAGUUGGGCGCUCUGAAAGAACUGCCAGUGAUAAGCUGGAGGAAGGUGGGGAUGACGUCAAGUCCUCAUGGCCCUUACGUGUUGGGCUACACACGUGCUACAAUGGUAUCUACAACAGGAAGCAAGACUGCGAAGUUAAGCAAAUCCCUAAAAGAUACCUCAGUUCGGAUUGCACUCUGCAACUCGAGUGCAUGAAGCUGGAAUUACUAGUAAUCGUGGAUCAGCGUGCCACGGUGAAUGCGUUCCCGGGUCUUGUACACACCGCCCGUCACACCAUGGGAGUUGGUUCUACCUUAAGGCAAGGUUUCAAACCCUUGACCACGGUAUAGUCAGCGACUGGGGUGAAGUCGUAACAAGGUAACC